AUACUGCAAGUCGAGCGAACUGAUUAGAAGCUUGCUUCUAUGACGUUAGCGGCGGACGGGUGAGUAACACGUGGGCAACCUGCCUGUAAGACUGGGAUAACUUCGGGAAACCGAAGCUAAUACCGGAUAACAUCAUUCCUUGCAUAAGGAAUGAUUGAAAGAUGGUUUCGGCUAUCACUUACAGAUGGGCCCGCGGUGCAUUAGCUAGUUGGUGAGGUAACGGCUCACCAAGGCAACGAUGCAUAGCCGACCUGAGAGGGUGAUCGGCCACACUGGGACUGAGACACGGCCCAGACUCCUACGGGAGGCAGCAGUAGGGAAUCUUCCGCAAUGGACGAAAGUCUGACGGAGCAACGCCGCGUGAGUGAUGAAGGCUUUCGGGUCGUAAAACUCUGUUGUUAGGGAAGAACAAGUAUGAGAGUAACUGCUCGUACCUUGACGGUACCUAACCAGAAAGCCACGGCUAACUACGUGCCAGCAGCCGCGGUAAUACGUAGGUGGCAAGCGUUAUCCGGAAUUAUUGGGCGUAAAGCGCGCGCAGGCGGUUUCUUAAGUCUGAUGUGAAAGCCCACGGCUCAACCGUGGAGGGUCAUUGGAAACUGGGGAACUUGAGUGCAGAAGAGAAAAGCGGAAUUCCACGUGUAGCGGUGAAAUGCGUAGAGAUGUGGAGGAACACC
This 677-nucleotide ribosomal RNA is filed under the name Bacillus sp. CH447. Its description in RNAcentral is "bacterial SSU rRNA". It matches the Rfam family "Bacterial small subunit ribosomal RNA", at positions 51 to 710 of the family's 1533-position model. The record is from RNAcentral. Lineage: Bacteria; Bacillati; Bacillota; Bacilli; Caryophanales; Bacillaceae.